AGAGUUUGAUCCUGGCUCAGAACGAACGCUGGCGGCAUGCCUAACACAUGCAAGUCGAACGGUAACAGGCCCGCAAGGGUGCUGACGAGUGGCGCACGGGUGAGUAACGCGUGGAUACCUAUCAUGGGGUGGGGGACAACAGCUGGAAACGGCUGCUAAUACCGCAUACGUCCUACGGGAGAAAGAUUUAUUGCCCUAUGAGGGGUCCGCGUCCGAUUAGCUAGUUGGUGGGGUAAAGGCCUACCAAGGCGACGAUCGGUAGCUGGUCUGAGAUGAUGAUCAGCCACACUGGGACUGAGACACGGCCCAGACUCCUACGGGAGGCAGCAGUGGGGAAUAUUGCACAACGGGCGAAAGCCUGAUGCAGCAAUGCCGCGUGGGUGAAGAAGGCCUUAGGGUUGUAAAGCCCUUUUAGUGGGAACGAUGAUGACGGUACCCACAGAAAAAGCCACGGCUAACUCCGUGCCAGCAGCCGCGGUAAUACGGAGGUGGCGAGCGUUGUUCGGAAUUACUGGGCGUAAAGCGCGCGUAGGCGGUCGGCCAAGUCGGGAGUGAAAGCCCAAGGCUCAACCUUGGAACUGCUCUCGAACUGGUCUGACUGGAGUCCGGCAGAGGAUGGCGGAAUUCCCCGUGUAGAGGUGAAAUUCGUAGAUAUGGGGAGGAACACCAGAGGCGAAGGCGGCCAUCUGGACCGGUACUGACGCUGAGGCGCGAAAGCGUGGGGAGCGAACAGGAUUAGAUACCCUGGUAGUCCACGCUGUAAACGAUGAGUGCUAGUUGUCGCGGGUAUCGACCCCUGCGGUAACGAAGCAAACGCGUUAAGCACUCCGCCUGGGGAGUACGGCCGCAAGGCUAAAACUCAAAGGAAUUGACGGGGGCCCGCACAAGCGGUGGAGCAUGUGGUUUAAUUCGAUGCAACGCGAAGAACCUUACCUGCUCUUGACAUCCUGCGAAUCUCUUAGAGAUAAGGGAGUGCCUUUCGGGGAACGCAGAGACAGGUGCUGCAUGGCUGUCGUCAGCUCGUGUCGUGAGAUGUUGGGUUAAGUCCCGCAACGAGCGCAACCCUUGCCUUCAGUUGCCAUCGGGUCAUGCCGGGCACUCUGGAGGGACUGCCGGUGUCAAGCCGGAGGAAGGUGGGGACGACGUCAAGUCAUCAUGGCCUUUAUGAGCAGGGCUACACACGUGCUACAAUGGCGAGUACAAAGGGUUGCGAAACGGCGACGUUGAGCUAAUCCCAAAAAGCUUGUCUCAGUUCGGAUUGCAGUCUGCAACUCGACUGCAUGAAGUCGGAAUCGCUAGUAAUCGCGGAUCAGCAUGCCGCGGUGAAUACGUUCCCCGGCCUUGUACACACCGCCCGUCACACCAUGGGAGUUGGUUUGACCUGACGCCGGUGGCCUAACCCGUAAGGGAGGGAGCCGUCCACGGUCGGAUCAGCGACUGGGGUGAAGUCGAAACAAGGUA
This 1461-nucleotide ribosomal RNA is filed under the name metagenome. RNAcentral describes it as "bacterial SSU rRNA". It matches the Rfam family "Bacterial small subunit ribosomal RNA". The record is from RNAcentral.